CCCGAGCUGUUCACGUACGGGGCCCGUUCACGUCCGCUUCGGCGGCUGGAUGCAAGGGCCCGCGAUGGACUGCCGGGAGUGGAGGAUCCGCUAUG
RNAcentral lists this non-coding RNA (95 nucleotides) under unclassified sequences. Its description in RNAcentral is "malK-III RNA". It matches the Rfam family "malK-III RNA". The record is from RNAcentral.